This 1423-nucleotide ribosomal RNA is filed under the name Trametes cinnabarina. RNAcentral describes it as "SSU rRNA". It matches the Rfam family "Bacterial small subunit ribosomal RNA". The record is from RNAcentral. Lineage: Eukaryota; Fungi; Basidiomycota; Agaricomycetes; Polyporales; Polyporaceae.
UUUUUCAGUAGUUUAAGACAUGCGAAUCGUUGUUUUCGACAUAUUACUUCUGUAAUAUUAGAAAAUAAGGUGUAGAGGUGAGUAUGUUAAAUAAGAUACCCUAUAGUCUUCAGAAAUAGGAGAUAAUGAAAGGAGAUACUUCUGCUAUAGGAUUCUAUUUAAUUUGAUUAGGUAGUUGGUAGGGUAAAGGCCUACCAAGCCAACGAUCGAAAGUCAUGUUUGAAAGAACCUCUGGCCACAUUGGGAAUGAAAUCUCCCAAGUAGUUUUACACUACCAGCAGUCAAGAAUAUUAGUCAAUGCUCGCAAGAGUGAACUAGCUAACUGAAAUCAUAGAGUUUAUUUAAACUCAUGAUGUCGUAAGGGAAAAUAAUGAUAAUACCUUACUAAUAGUGUCGUCCAAAUCUGGUGCCAGAAGACUCGGUAAGACCAGAGACGCAAACGUUAAUCAUCUUAAACAGGCGUAAAGGGUUUGUAGGCAGCUUUCAGAAGUACUAUAAUUAAGCAAAUAAAGUAGUCUAAUUGGAAGCUAGAAUCAAAUGGAGGUUAUAGUGUAUAACGCUUAGAGGAGGGCUGAUAUCCUUAGAUCCUAAGCAGAAUACUCAGGGCGAAGGCCACUUUCCACUAAUGAUUGACGCUGAGAAACGAAGGUUAGGGUAGGAAAUAGGAUUAGAUACCCCGGUACCCUUUCUGUAAACGAUGAAUGGUAGUCAUUAGUUUAGAAAAACUAGAGGCGAAGUUAACGCGAUAACCAUUCCGCCUUGUGAGUACUACUGCAAAGUAGAAAACAAAAAAAUUAGUCGGUCUCGAAGCAAACGGAGUGAAGCAUGUUGUUUAAUACGAUAAUCCGCGUAAAACCUUACCAGAACUUGCAUACAAACUUUUCUUUCCAAAAGAAAGGAAAGGAGUAUUUUGCCCCUCAAAGUACUUAAGUACAGGUGUUGCAUGGCUGUCUUCAGUUCGAGUUGUUAAACAUUAGGUUAAUUCCACUAACGAACGAAAUCCCUGUUAUUAAUUAAUUCUUAAUAACUAAUGAAUCUGAUAGAGAUUCAGUCGGGGCUAAGACAAGUCGUUAUGGCCCUCAUGUUCUGGGCUAUAGACGUGCCACAAACACUUUCACAAAGUGAUGCAAUACUUCCGAAAAGAAGUGGAGCUAAUCAUUAAAAAAAGUGAUCUAUAUGAAUCUUUGACGGAUUGUCUCCUGAAAUUCGGAGGCAUGAAGCAGGAAUUCCGAGUAAUCGUUGAUAAGUAGCGCAACGGUGAAGCUAGUUUCGUGAUGAACUAACUGUCUGUCGCUGGGAAGAAGCCUUUAGUGGAGGAAACUGGGGGUAGAUAAGUUUUUUUCAUAGUUUAGUUUACGAUUAAAAUUAUAUUAGUCUCUAAAACAACUAUGUUAAGCUUAUUGGCUUUAGUUAAUUCAUUGGG